This is a long non-coding RNA of Tarenaya hassleriana, 3111 nucleotides long. RefSeq lists it as uncharacterized. The record is from RefSeq and is a predicted model, not a curated record. Lineage: Eukaryota; Viridiplantae; Streptophyta; Magnoliopsida; Brassicales; Cleomaceae. The transcript is spliced from 2 exons.
AUUUUCCGCUGAAUAAUUAAUUACUUACUCAAACAAAUUGUUGAUUUCUCGAUGGCCUCCCUCAGAGCAAUGACCGAUGGUUAGUUUUUGUGUGUGCGAUGUGGGUUCUGUCCGUCGCCGGCGUCGCCCACCUCUUCGGCGGUCCUAUGUCGCCGGCGAUCAAGACUGCCAUCAGAUAUUGCUGUUCUCAGCGUCGCUAAGAACCUAGGCGACGCCAUCUGUUUCGUUUCCGGUGCCAUGCCGUAGGUCUCGCCGUCGUGGGUUGUUCUCCUUGUCGGUACGAGUCGUAACCUUUUCGGUUAUGGCGUUAUCUGGCACGUUGUCAUUGGUCUGUUGCCGAGGUUUCCGCUCGGGAUGGUAAGAUCUCAGUACCCGACUCACUGAUUUGAACAUGGGUUUGAGCUUUUCUCAUUCUAGGGUUUUGUAAGAUUCGAGAAAUUCUUAUGGUUCUAUGUGUUUAGAUGUUGAAACUAAUGAAAAGGGUUGUGAUGAUUUUGUUCCAAUUAUAGUUAAUGUAAUAAGAUACUGGAUAGAUGUGUUACAAGAUACACUGUCGAUUGGUGAAUUGUAGAGUAGAAGAAGGAUUCAUGGUGUUUUUUUAGAUUGGAUCUUGUACCUGGAUUUGAUCAACCUUAUGACAGAGUAUUUGAUUGAGUAUAGUAUAGCUCGGAUCUUACGAGAUCAUUUGCUGAAACUUCAUCUAAGAUAGAUUUGGUGUCUGUACACGAAUAAAGAUUCUGUCCGAAAUGUGAUGUCCAAACAAUGUGAUAAAACAUUGUACUAGUUUGGUUCUGAAGCUUUUGCCUAAAGUUCAAUAGAGUUUGGAAUAAGAAAAAAAAUGCUCGGGAUGUUAGAACAAGGAUUUGCAGGUGUUUUAUGGGUUAAGACUACGUCUACGUUAAGGUAAAGGCAUGUACAUGUUGUACGUAGAUUUGCUUGCCAUGUAUAGUCUUGAUGUUAUUCCUGAAUUUGUUGACCUUUACUUGGGGAAAUAUUUAAGCACAUUCACAAAUAUAGGUUACUGUCGCAAAUGGAAUUUGAGUGUUGUAUUAUACAUGCUUUUAUACAUCUCCUGCGUGGAAGCUUUUUGCUAACAGUUUUAUGUAAAGUUUGGAGUAAGAUAGGAUGCUUCAAUACUUAUGAGUGUAAGUAUUUUAUGUGAUUUCUUUAUUGCGUUAAUAUCUAAUACUUGUGUUAUUAAUUUGCUAGCUGUGUACAGUGUAUGUUACAUGUGGAUUUGAUGAGCUUAAUUGAAGGAACAUGUGAAUGCGGUUUAUUCAUUGUCACGUUAUAAUACAGAUUUUAAACUUAAGGAAAGUUUGGAAUAAGAGAAAGAUGCUUGGCAUAUUGGAAUGAGGUUAAGGAAAGUUUACUAACUAAUUUUCUCGAUUUGGUGAAUUUGUCCGAAGUUUGACGCAUGAGUUAUACAUUAAUUUUGUAGCCAGGUAUGGUAAGGGUGUUUUACGCUAGUUGGUUCGAUUUCCGUUAAGAAACAGUUAAGAAUUUACAUCAAAGAGAUUUACUGUCACAAGUGUGAAACGGGUUGAAUAAGAUAUAGAUCUAUGUAAUUCCUGUUCUUAGGUGUCUGCUAAACAAAUGGCUAUACAUGGAUGCUCUUGCUGCAAAUUUCACUGGAUUCUUGGGCAAGAGCUGCAGGAUCACGCUUGUAUGUGUGCAUUGCUUUCGUUCCAUAUUGUAGUUGUGAUAAUGCAUCGCAUUCUUGUACGUUCGUAAAACUCUCCUACGUAAGUUCAAGAAAGAAACAUGCAGCAUGGAUACUAUAUCCGGCUAACGGAUCAGCGUACAACACAUGCAUUAGGUCUUAACUUAGCCAAGCAAAUCAUGUUCAAUACUUACAGAUAUUUGUUUUAAUGUCAAAACAUUCUCUUUUACUCCUAAGUUUACUGUAUUGUUAGGCAGAAACUUCAGAUCUGGACUUAGAUAACGAUAUCGCAUGUAUUCCAUAUCGUACGUGACCAUAAUCUGCAUUUACGUAAGUUGUUUCAGAUAAGUUUUAAGUUAGAGAAGAAUGCUGGGGACACUAUAACGACCAUGGGUAUGUAUUGAUGUGAUUUGCUUGAACAAAUGAAAUCCCUGGGUACAUCUGAUGCAUAUAUGUUGAUUUGGUGAUUGAGUUUAGUAUGAACGCUAUCUGUUAAUCUGCUGAACGUAGUUUACUAUAUCACUAGUCGAAUAAUUGUUGUGGUGUCUUCAAACAAUUAUAUUUCUGGAACUUUUUCCUGACGAUUCAGUAAAAUUGGUAGACAAAGGGGUGCUUGUGAUUUAGGAGAAUUACGUAAAAGACGAGGCUUGAAAUUACAUUCAUGUAAGGUUUUGUUACGGCUUGCGGAGUCACAACGGGUUUCUAUUAUUGGAGAAUAGUUUCCAUCCUCAUAUAUAUGUAAGUAUUUGCUCAACAGUGUUUGUUUCCUCUACCUUUAUGUGUUUCAGCAGAUGUGGUUUUUUUGGCCCUAUUUCAUGGUCUACAAAAGCUAAACGGUUUUUAUCUUGCAGUUAUUCAUUGCCAUUUUUUCUGGAAACAAAUGGUAAAACCUACUAGAGUACGUCGGCAUUUGUCUCAUGCAUCGAGAACCAUUUAGAGAGCCGAGGCCCAGUUGUAGGGAUCUCCUUAGAGGGUUUUCAGGCUUGAGGCGGCGAUCUUGACUCAGUGUAUUUAUACCUGAUUCCUUUUGUAGGAAACCAAGAAAAUGCUACCUUAGUGGAUGUUUGUGAAGGAAACUCCAAUGCGGAUGGAAGGAACCAAACACAGGAAAUAUCCAAUUCUUCCUCAGGAGCUAAACAAUGAGAGAGGAGAGAGAACAAAACAAAAACCCUAAUCUCCUCUUCCACAUUAUUACUGCCAUUGAUGCUCUUCACUGACUUGUUGAUUAUUCCACUUCCUCCGCACCAGGAAACCUUGGCCAUUUGCCAUGCCGCUCUUGCAAAGGUUGAUGGCCUUUGGACUUUCCAUGUUCUACUUCUUGACCAUUCUAAACAGACACGGCCUCAGUCUCUGACCUAUUCUGGGUCUGAACAAGUUCGGUUCUUUGUAAAAUUUCCUUGUAUGUACACACACAAAUAUACGUAUAUACACGCAUAUGUACAUGCACA